UUGGGCCUGCCCGGUGANAAUUUUAACGGCCGCAGUUGGAAGCUGUGCUAAGGUAGCGUAAUAAAUUGUCCUUUAAAUGAGGAAGUGAAUGAAUGGCUUGACGUAAAAAAUUCUGUCUCCAAGAAAGUAUAUGAAAUUUUCUUCUUAGUGAAAAGACUGAGAUUUAAUUAAAAGACGAGAAGACCCUGUUGAGCUUGUAAUUAUUAAUAUAUAAGUGUGUUAAAAAAGUUUGGUUGGGGUAACCAGGGAGUAUAAAUAACCUCCCUUAAGUAAUAGAAAUCCAAAAUUUUUGAAAAAAGAAAAAGUUACCGUAGGGAUAACAGCGUUAUCUUUUCUAAGAGAGCAAAUUGAAGAAAAGGAUUGCGACCUCGAUGUUGAAUUAAAGUUUCCAUUAGGUGUAGAGGCUUAAGCGGUAAGACUGUUCGUCUUUUAAAGCUUUACGUGAU
RNAcentral lists this ribosomal RNA (446 nucleotides) under Waldo paucitentaculatus. RNAcentral's name for it is "Waldo sp. 2 PD-2012 partial 16S ribosomal RNA". It matches the Rfam family "Bacterial large subunit ribosomal RNA", at positions 1853 to 2604 of the family's 2925-position model. The record is from RNAcentral. Lineage: Eukaryota; Metazoa; Mollusca; Bivalvia; Galeommatida; Lasaeidae.